RNAcentral lists this ribosomal RNA (416 nucleotides) under Sordellina punctata. RNAcentral describes it as "partial small subunit ribosomal RNA". The record is from RNAcentral. Lineage: Eukaryota; Metazoa; Chordata; Lepidosauria; Squamata; Dipsadidae.
ACCCUACUAUGCCUAGCUGUAACAUAACAAUCAAACCAACCAAUUGUUCGCCAAAUAACUACGAGUAUAAACUUAAAAUUUAAAAGACUUGACGGUACUUCACAACAACCUAGAGGAGCCUGUCUAAUAACCGAUACCCCACGAUUAACCCAACCCACCCUAGCCUACAGUCUAUAUACCGCCGUCGCCAGCUUACCUUGUGAAAGAAAUAUAGUGAGCAAAAUAGACUUCCCCCUAACACGACAGGUCGAGGUGUAACUCAUGGGUGGGUAAAAGAUGGGCUACAUUUUCUACUACAGAAAAUACGAACAAACUAUGAAAUUAGAAACCGAAGGCGGAUUUAGCAGUACGUUAAGAAUAGAAUACCUAACUGAAACAAACGCAAUGAAGCGCGUACACACCGCCCGUCAUCCCUG